CUGUUCUUGCAAAGAUUCCACUAAAUCACUAAAUAUUUUAUGUUUGACAGGUAAAGUGAGAUGUUGCAUAACGCCUAUUUUUAAAGAAAUGUACUCAGCCCAUCGCCCUGCGUCAAUGAAAAAUUCUGCAUUUCUUGGGCUUGGGAAGUGUAAUGCAGAGGGGAACAUAAAUUGAAAUUCUUCUUUCGGUAUGAGAAAUGCAUGGAAAUUAAGUAAUGGCAUUCUACUCGUCUGAGUCUGUGAGCGAGGACUGCCGCCUUGUCCUGCCAGCCAGCCAGCCGUUUGCUGCACACAGUGGGG
This is a long non-coding RNA of Camelus dromedarius (Arabian camel), 300 nucleotides long. RefSeq lists it as uncharacterized. The record is from RefSeq and is a predicted model, not a curated record. NCBI's taxonomy places the organism in Eukaryota, Metazoa, Chordata, Mammalia, Artiodactyla, Camelidae. The transcript has 3 exons.